CUGCCCCAGCUGCUCCUGGCUUCUCUGACCAUGGGUCCAUUCCAUGAACAUUUUAUAGGACACCUACUGUGUGCCAGACACUGGAGUCUGGGAAGACAGUGAAGCCCUGGGUUGUCCAAGAUCACGGAGUACCUGGCAGCAAAGUUCCAUCUCAGCUCCUUGGAGACUGUGAAGACUUAGAGAAAACAACCACCAUGAGAGGGAAGGAUCAAAGUGGACAAAGUGAACACUCUGGAAUCAACAGAGGAGGUCCUGAAAAUUCCUUCCUGAUAAUUUCAUUAACUACAAAAGAAGAGAGAAACAGAAGACCAGGUCAGAGAAAACCAAAGUCAUGAAUCAGGGUAGUUUACUUAAAGCAGUUAAACUAUUUUUUUUCCAGACACAUUUAUUUUCUUUUGUUCUCUGCAAGAAUAGAUUUGACAAUUCUUAACAUAAGAGGUAUUUUCCAAGUUUGUGAUUCUCCCCCACCCUGGAUAAUAAUAUAUUAUGCAAUCAAACGGUUAGUGAAAAUGCUAAGAAGUCCUAGUGCCCAGAAAUAGAGUUGGGCCACAUGACACAUUUUUAAGUAGCCUUUUCUUCUUCAAUCUUUUCACUUAGUGCACAUUAGCCCUCUUCUGUGAUGAGUAGCUUCCGCACCGUAAAGGCAGACUAGCUGUCAAUGUAAAUCUAAUCCCAGUUUCUCUCAGAACAAUGAAUAAGUCUUGAGUCUUCUAAUCAAGGUGUUUAUAGAAGGGCUCUGGAAAGUUCCAUUGUACCCUUCCCCAGAAGGCUGCAUAGAAUGCCUAGAAAGACACCAUGGAUCUGGUGCCAGUCACUGGCACUAGGAAGCCAGCUGUGCAUGGAAUCAAGGCUGUGAAGGUCAUACAUGAGUAACUAGUGCAGACUUCCUUCAACACUCUAACACUCAUAGAAAGGAGCUGCUCUGUCACCCAGCAUGCACACAGCUGUGCACGUGCCCUGAGGGGGGUGGGUGAUGGUGUGUGGGUGGGAACUGGCUUUUGACCACUGGCCCUGGGGCCAAGAAAAGGAGAAGCAGCAGAUCCACCAAACAGCAGGUUAAUCUCCCUCUCCCAGUUCUGACACUGGCUUCUUCCUAGAAUACUUUUUUUAAAUCAAGAGAUGAAAGGUUGGUAGCGAGGAGUAACUGGAGAUCAGCUCAACAUCUGUGUUUGAGUUGGGCCCUCUAAGGUCUAUGAUGCUUCUUCCUGGAAAUCUUUCAUUUGUAGAGUGAGUCUACAAGCUUGGUAAUAAGAGGAGGGCAGGUCCAAACUGUUUGGUACUGAAUAAGCCAAGUUGGACUCCCUCGCCUAACUGGUGGUGUGAUCCAGCUUUGUGGCCUUAGUACUCUCAUCUAUAGAACGGAAAUCACACAGGACAGUUGUGAGGGUGAUAGGCAUUGCUGUUGGCACAUGCACCUAGCUUGGUGAAGUGGUUGCUUGCUAUAGUGUUGGCAGCAUCUCAAAGCUCUGUACCAUAUGAAGCUUUUGCUUUGUGCUUCAGAUAUGUGAAAGCAGAUGUGUGUCUAGGCAGGCCAGAGUGCAGGUUCAAACCCCACCCCAUGCAGCAUCCUCAAUUGAAGAAAGAACUACUCUCUGGCUCAGUCUCCCCAUCUGUACAGCAUGUAUGAAAACGCCACCUUCCAGGGUUAUUAAGGAACCUGGACAAGAUAAUGUACAUGGUGCAUACCAGUACAGUCACCAUCUACAACAGGUUGUUUGUAUGUUAAUGCCCGAGAACAGAACAAAAGUUCCGAAGUGUGAAAAUGGAUCCCUAACAAAGGAGCUCAGAGGAUGGAUGUGUAUAUUCAGGUGCCAGGUGACUUCAGGGAUCGAAGGAAGACAGGCCAGCCCCCCCCCCCCCCCAGUGCCCUCUUCACCAUGGGACCCCACCAAGCCAUGAUGCAGACAGCAAGGCAUUAGUGAAAGCUGGAAGGUGGGGUCAGUGUAACUUCACUAGAAGCUUUUCAAAGCCCGGAUUCUGAAGGGCUUCCUGUUUUCUCAACCUAGGAAACAAGAGGAGUCGAUCCUCAGUGGAAACUUUCCACAGCCUCAGCUUUCUAAAAAUAGCUGGAGGGCAGAGAUGUCGGCAACACAGCAGCCCCCACAACAGGGCAGCUUCUGAACACAGGGGCUGGGAGAUGAGUGUCAGGUGGGCAGAAAUGGUCUCUCCCUCUGAGUGAAGAAACCCUCACUUCAUGAAACCCACUUCUCAGGUAAAAAAGAAAAUGGGAUGUAGGCAGCAUGUGGAGAGUUCACGGCAUGGGCCGCCUACAGGCCUUCGUGCAGUUGGGCCCUACAGUGAGGGGCCCACAGAAACCUCAGAGCCUCUCCAUCUCUCUAACACACACACACCUGGGGCAGUGACCUCAAAGUUCUAGAGCAGAAAAGUCAGCUGGGUGGCCAUGAUUAUAUCUCCAUGUUCCAUGGGAGUGGGGUUGGGGGAGCUCUGACUACUUCAUGCAGAUCAGAUUCAAGCCUCUGUCCUGAGCACCUAGGUGGCCUCACAGCCCUCUGAGUCAACUCAGUGAUGUCUAUGGCCCCAGGAAGGGGCCUGCAGCCUCCUUGUUCACAUCUUUACUCUCGUGUCUUCACAUUGCCCCUCAAUGUGGGUGACCGUUCACCCUAAACUAAAGCCCCUGCUCGGGCCCAUCGUCUGAGGCCCCAUGACCUCACCUACUGCAUGCUCCCCCACUCCCUACACACACACCAACCACACUAGCUUCCGUUCUGUACUGGCCUGUGCCCAGCAUCAUCCCCACAGCCCUGGAGUCCCCACCUCUCUUGAUGCCUUCUUUCUCACUCACUUUGGUCAAGCCCACUCCGGGAAGGAUACAUUUGACCCACCCCCAGAGCUACUCCAUUAAUCAGUUCCUGGCAGUUCACUGUGCCACUCUAUCAAGCUCUUGUUUCCCUGCUAUAUAGUGUGCUCUUAAGCACCCUGGCACACAGGAAGGACAGGGACAUAUAUUAGGAAGGGAGUAAUGGGACAACACUUAGCUCAUACUGUCAAGCAUGGGCAUUCGUCCCCAGAUGACCCACUCUUCUGCAUCUGUGCCAUCAGUGUUUCAUUCACUCACAGGUUUCAAGCAGUUUUCUCAUACUAGCUUCUUCCCACAGGGGAUCUCAUGCAGACUCCCAAGCAACCCUUUCCCCAAAUCCUAACUUCCCUCCAGCCUCUGUUCCAACACCAGCCUUCACUAGAAAGUCUUCUCAUGUACCCUACUUCUUUGGGACCCUCAUGCCCUCCAGAAGCAAGGACUGAAUGGUCUUUAAAACCUACCACUUAAUGCUUGCAUGCUAGGCGAUUUGAGUCACUUAGACCCCUACAAGAGCACACAGCUGGCACCUAAUGCCUGAUCUUAUCUGGCCAAAAGGACUCCAAACUAGCAACCUAGGUC
This is a long non-coding RNA of Erinaceus europaeus (western European hedgehog), 3397 nucleotides long. RefSeq lists it as uncharacterized. The record is from RefSeq and is a predicted model, not a curated record. Lineage: Eukaryota; Metazoa; Chordata; Mammalia; Eulipotyphla; Erinaceidae. The transcript has 4 exons.